AAUCAACUAGUUUUCCAUUGCACCUUUGCCAAAUCAACCUAGUUUUCCAUGACACCCUUGUCAAAUCAACCUAGUUUUCCAUGACACCCUUGUCAAAUCAACCUAGUUUUCCAUGACACCCUUGUCAAAUCAACCUAUUUUUCAUAGCUUCUUCAUCAAAUUGAAUACCCCAUCAACUAUUUUUCCAUUGAACCUUUGUCAAAUUGGUCAAAUAGCCCAUUUCAACUCCCUGCCUGGACUCGGGGAAACGGGGGUUGUUAUGAUUAUGUAAUUUUAAAGUUUAGUAAUAUGCCAGUUAUAUAUAAUAAUUAAUUAGAUACUGGUUCAUAUUUUUCUAGUGAGGUAACUGAUUUUUUGCAGUUACAAGUGCGUGAAGUAUAUUGACCACUUAACAAGAACAAUAACUUAGUGUGGCUGCCAGUAUUUCUUCAGCCCUGUAACGUCCCUCCUGCUUAGUGAAUUAUUUUUGCACCUUGGCACCAGUAUUUGUAGGCUAGGAAUGGCUCUGCACUGCUGUUGGGUUUCCUCUGUAGCACAUUGUAAGGCAGUUGUUGUUUGGACUUGGGAGACAUUCUGAUUCUUAAGAGGAAAAUAUGAUAAAAAGGGGAAAAGAAUCCAUUUUUUAUAUAGUUUCUUAGUUUUGGACAAAAAAUGUAUUAUUUGUCAAACACAAGAGUGGAUUUUUUCUUAAAAGUUAAUUUGCCAUGUAUCCAUAUAUUCUUUGAUUUCCGUUCUCUGAUGCAAGUGUUGCAGGUGGCCAUUAAAUUUUUUUAAGUUUG
Molecule: long non-coding RNA, 779 nt
Organism: Eriocheir sinensis (Chinese mitten crab)
Lineage: Eukaryota; Metazoa; Arthropoda; Malacostraca; Decapoda; Varunidae
Exons: 2
Source: RefSeq, a predicted model, not a curated record